AGGUUAUUGACAAAGUGCUGGUUGCGGAGAGAACAGCUAGAUCGUAAAGACGCCGUAAAUCCUUCCCUGGAGGCUCGAGCCGCGCCAUCCCUGGCGCGGACGCUUU
This 106-nucleotide non-coding RNA is filed under the name Yersinia bercovieri. Its description in RNAcentral is "Yersinia sRNA 224". It matches the Rfam family "Yersinia sRNA 224". Lineage: Bacteria; Pseudomonadati; Pseudomonadota; Gammaproteobacteria; Enterobacterales; Yersiniaceae. The record is from RNAcentral.